UACGUAGGUGACCAGCGUUGUCCGGAUUUACUGGGCGUAAAGAGCGCGCAGGCGGUCGUUCAAGUCGAGUGUGAAAGCCCCCGGCUCAACUGGGGAGGGUCAUUCGAUACUGAUCGACUCGAAGGCAGGAGAGGGAAGCGGAAUUCCCGGUGUAGUGGUGAAAUGCGUAGAUAUCGGGAGGAACACCGGUGGCGAAGGCGGCGACCUGGGUAGAUACUGACGCUGAGGCGCGAAAGCGUGGGGAGCAAACAGG
Molecule: ribosomal RNA, 253 nt
Filed under: uncultured bacterium
Lineage: Bacteria
Description: partial 16S ribosomal RNA
Rfam family: Bacterial small subunit ribosomal RNA
Source: RNAcentral